AGGUAUAUGGCUGACUGGUAAAGCAUUUUACUUGAAAUAAAACAUAUGUGGGUUCGAUUCCUACUAUACCUA
Lichtheimia corymbifera is the source of this 72-nucleotide transfer RNA. It matches the Rfam family "tRNA". From Rfam's summary of the family: Transfer RNA (tRNA) molecules are approximately 80 nucleotides in length. Their secondary structure includes four short double-helical elements and three loops (D, anti-codon, and T loops). NCBI's taxonomy places the organism in Eukaryota, Fungi, Mucoromycota, Mucoromycetes, Mucorales, Lichtheimiaceae. The record is from Rfam.